GGAUUUUUAGCUUAAUGGAAGAGCACACAUAUGAUAAAUGUGAGAUCUUGGUUCGACUCCAAGAUAAUCUA
RNAcentral lists this transfer RNA (71 nucleotides) under Babesia motasi. RNAcentral describes it as "tRNA-Ile". It matches the Rfam family "tRNA". Rfam says of the family: Transfer RNA (tRNA) molecules are approximately 80 nucleotides in length. Their secondary structure includes four short double-helical elements and three loops (D, anti-codon, and T loops). The record is from RNAcentral. Lineage: Eukaryota; Apicomplexa; Aconoidasida; Piroplasmida; Babesiidae.